UUUUCCAUGUAGAUUAAGAAAGCCCGUAAACCAGCCACUGAGCCAAUGAGAAACCAAAGAGACAGUUUCUUUCUAUGUGAAGAGGCAGGGAGGGAUCCAGUUCCGGCUUUUCCUCUUCCUUCUGCACUUUAUCUUAUUGAUGGAGGAUUUUUUGUCCGGGUUGUUCGACUUUUUCUGUUAUGUAAGCGACAGCGAAACUGCAUUACGGGAAGAACUAAUUAGCGAAUUUUUGCUACUGAAGCAAUCGGGAUUCUACAGCGUGGAUGCUUGUCAAGCCUUUAGCGAUUGGUUCUUUUUCUCUCGUCUACACAGUAAACCAAGUUUUUUGGCGCGCUGUUUUAAGCCGGACGAGUCUCGUCGGCUCUGCCAUGAAUAUGAGCUUGCGAAAGCUCGUUUUUACACUCUUGCGAAGGAUGACGGAUUCAAUGGUCUCUGCUGCUCUCUCCACGAUUGGUACAAAAGGGGUAAAAAAAGAUGCACGGCGGAUCUAAAACUUCUGGGGAUCGAUAAGAGCCUUGUUGCUGAAUCUGGGGUUUUGAAGGGCCACGCUGAUGCUAUUGAAGAAGGUUUGGUGGUUGACGGCGAUGGAGUGAUCCCCGUGCCUAAUGUCUCCAGCUAUGUCCUCUCUCAGGUCAUCCUCUUCUUGGAGAAGAAACAACAUUUCCAGGAGACCCACGACAAAGCUGCCGCCCACUACGAGGCCUGGUCCACCGCCUUUUUCAACCGGAACAGUCUCAUUCUCCCCGAGUUGCAUCAGGCUGCGCAAGAUCUUCAGAUCCCAAGCUUGCUGGAAGCGAUAAGUAAGGUGCAAAAGCGCAAGGAUGGUGGCCACCUCAAUGACAAUUUGUCGAGCGAAAUGUUCCACUAUUUCUGUGGUAUGGCCGGCAACAACAAACGCGGUGGAGCCAUUCUGGAGGAAUUGAAUAACCUCAAGUUAUUUAGAGGCUUGGAUAAGGUUGCCUGUGGAAACUUCAGAAUAUGGUUCACUCAGAUUGGGAAUCCGGGUAGGGACCAUCAUAAUCACAAUAAAUUCAAGACUUUCAUGAAGUCCCCUGCCUUCGGUCAAGUCUGCCUUUCUCUUUAUUGGGGCGACGAACGUCUGCAGUUUGCCCAGGUCUCCUUAAGAAGCCAAGACGGAAAGGUCUUGCAGAUCGAUAAGAGUGUUGCCGUUGAUGAAUCUGUGUUUUUAAGACGCUGUGUUAGGUGUAGUGGUUGGUGGACUGAGAUCCCUGUGAACAUUGAUAGCUCUGUACUCUCAUCAAUCAUUGACUUCUGUUCUAAGGUAUGGGAUUUCCAUAAGAUAUAUGGUUCCCGCCGGAUCAAGGAGGGCCUUGUGGCUGUGGAUUAUUUCCGGUGCUGGGUCACAGAAUUCCUCAAGAGUAACAUAGACAUUCUCUCGGAAUUGUACGAGGCUGCUGACUUUCUUGAAAUCCCGAGCCUGUUGCUGCUUACAACUGAGGAGGUGACAGAUCUGGUGACGAGGCCCCUUGAUAAGGCAUCGGUGUUGUCUGGGAAACUAUCAUUUUCACGAAUGCUCUCAUCCCUUUUUGUUAAAUUCACAGAGUAGGGUUGGCCAUCAAGUAGGAAAUUGGUAUGCUGUUGUUAAUCAAAGGACUACUUGAUUUGAUCGUUCCCCAUUUUUAUGUUUACUUUCUUGGUAAACUUCAGUUUGUUCUCUAUUUGAAGGUUUGUAGUAGCAAUUGAUGAUGAAUCCAUCCAUUUGGAUAUUGCACUAUCGAUCCCAUCUAGUGGGAUAAGAUUUUGUUGUUGUAAAUGUAGCCUUACUCUGUAAACGAUUAUGUAUAUAAGUAUAUUAUUUUGAUUGAACUUAGUUGAUUUUUGUAUUGGUUAUUUCUUUUCUGACUAUAAUGCUUUCUUUCAAAAAUAAAAUGUUGUUGCUCACCUGGUUUGAAUUUGAUAGGUGUCUGGUGUCUACUCCCUUUAAAGAUGUGAAUGGUAGGUGCUUUCCCUUUCAUAAUCAUUCAAAGUGACAUCAAUAAUUGUGAGGAGUAUUGUGAUCGUAUUAGCAAAGGUGACUGCUAGAGCAUAGGAGGUCAAUCAGUUUAGUAUUAGAAAAAAAAAGGGAAUUAGUUAGUAUUUUGUUCAAAUAUAAAGCAAAUAUAAUACAGAAAAUGAAAUAGAUAGUUAAAGCAAAAGACCUUUUUUUUCCAUAGUGAUUUUAUUGAAUAAAAAGAAUGCCUCCCUCUUCAAGGAGACAUUCUUUCAUUCUUCAUGGAGUGACUGGAGCUAGAAGCAUAAAACUUAUGUUUGGUUGCAGAAUUCUAUGGCUUCGCUCAUGAAGCAUGAUAAGUGCAACCGCUAUAUUAGUGGUGGCUAUUGCCGUGGAUUUCUUCUUGGGAUUUGCUUAAGAAGCUGCGAUGGACCUGAGUUGAAGAUGGACAAGAGUGUUGCUACUGCUGAAUCCCUGUUUUUGCAAGACCGCAUUGAUUCUAAUCCUGAUUUGCAUGAAGUCGAGGUGCCCGUUGAUAGAGACAUUCUUUCACAAGUCAUCGACUUCUGGUGAGUCAUUUUUCUUAAGAGAUGGGCCACUUUCUUCUUGGAGCGUAACAGAAAUACUCUUUCCAAUUUGAAAGAGGCUGCCGACUAUCUCUUCAUUCCGAGCUUGUUGGAGUUGACAACAAAUGCAUUGGCAAAUUCUGUGCAAACGAAGCUUCACCCCACGGCGGUGUGGUCAACAAUCCUUUUCAGUUCUCACCAAUAAUGGCUCCCUUCUUCCUUUAUCAUUAAAGGACUACUUGACUAUUCAACAUCCGAUGUAUCUUUGUUAGAUUUUAUUCGUUUCUUGAUAGCAAUGCAUGAUGAGCUUGUUUGGAUAAUGCUUUCCUCAUCAAGGUUUGUGGUUAAUGGAGCAUAGACUCUAGAAGUUUAAACGAUGAGGUCCAUAUAGAUUUUCUUACUAGUGUUUAAUUUUCUAAGGCAUUAAGUUGAUUGAUGUUGCUCACUACCUCUAAAGAUGAAUGGGGCUACUCAUUCAUGGUAGAUGCUUUGCCCCUCAUGCUCAUUUACAGAUUACACUACAGUAAGAUAAAUCAAAGUGAUUUUAAUUU
Molecule: non-coding RNA, 3068 nt
Organism: Arachis ipaensis
Lineage: Eukaryota; Viridiplantae; Streptophyta; Magnoliopsida; Fabales; Fabaceae
Source: RefSeq, a predicted model, not a curated record